CGGUGAAUUAACUUGGGUAGAACUGACCCCAAGAAUAACCAUCUUCCUAAUACGUCACCACAGCCACUCAAAAACUGCAUCUGGCUUUUUCCAAAGUUUCCAUUUGUGAUUUCACUUUUAAGAUUGAUAUUUUGAUUCCAUGGCCUAUGGAACAUUAUGUAUCCAUUAGAAGUUUGUGGGUGAGCUACCGCUGUGUAGUGAAAAAGAGAAUUAUCCACAAUAUGUUGUUGAGUUUUUUCUUAAUACACUGUAUUGGCGUGUAGUUGACUUAGAAAGGUGUGUUAGUUUCAGGUGUACAGCAAAGUACAUCCGUUAUGCAUAUACACAUCUCCAUUCUCUUUCAGAUUCUUUUCCCAUAUAGGUUAUCACACAGUAUUGAGUAGAUUGCACUGUGCUAUACAGUAGGUCCUAGUUACCUGCCUGUUUUAUGUACAGUGAUGUGUUAAUCCCAAUCCCUUAAUGUACCCUUCCUGCCCCAUAUUUCCCCUUUGGUAACUAUAAAUUUGGUUGCAAAACUUGGAGUCUGUUUCUGUUUUGUAAGUCUUAUUGUACAUUGUUUUGUUAAAUUCCAUGUAUUAGUGAUCUGAUCUCAUAUAUUUGUCUUUCUCUGUCUUCGAGUUUUAACAGUAAAUGUAGGAAAAUGUUCAUGUGACAUGACCCCAGUCUGGCGGGGGAUUUUUACGUUGCUAUAUCUUUCUUUGUAUCUAUACAGCUCACGCACGCUGGUGCAGAGGAGUGUACGCACACACACAUACACACGCCACCAUAGUAAAUGCUACUUUUGAGGAUGAGAAAUAGACCAAGAAGCACUUAGAUGAGGGGGUAACUGUCACAUUUAUCUUACACAUUUCUGUAGUGUGGAUUUUUUUCAGUGAUCAAGCACAACUUUUGUUUCUAAGAGGCAUAUAUACGAGACAAAAGCACAGCGGGAAAGCAUGCUCAUCCCUUCAGAGGGGAAUCAAGGCCCUGCAUCCCCCGGUCUUGCUUUGCUGUCCAGUGGGCAGCGUGCCCUGCCCAGCUCGCCUUAGCUGUUGGGGGCUCCUGAAGAAAGUAGGAGGCGUAGAGCCACCAGACAGGACCCGCAUCUAUAGCCUGAUCCAUGACUUUUCAGGUUUUCAGUCUUUUUGAUUCAUCAUUCGUUUUCAUAAAAAACACCUACCUCUCAAACUGAGGAGCAAAUGAGAUGUACCGUGUGAAGUGCCUGAUAUAGAAUGUGCCCCACUGGGAGUUCCCACUGUGUGCAGUAGGUUAAGGAUCCAGUGUUGCUGCAGCUAUGGGAUAGGUCACGGUUAUGGCUCUGAUUCAAUCCCUGGCCCAGGAAGAAAUUCCAUAUGCUGCAGGUGUGGCCAUUGAACAAAACGAAACAAAACAAAACAAAACAAAAAAGAAUGUGCUCCAUGAACAGUAAGGGGAGGGGGAGGUCAGGUAGAAAAAUGUAGUGUCAGAAUCCCGCUGUGGCUCAGCAGGUUACCAACCUCGCUAGUACCCAUGAGGAUGCGGGGGUUCCAUCCCUGGCUUCACUCAGUAGGUUAAGGAUCCGGCGUUGUUGUGAGCUGUAGUGUAGGUCACAGACUCGGCUUGGAUCCCACGUUGCUGUGGCUGUGGUGUAGGCAGGCAGCUACAGCUCCAAUUCAAUCCCUAGCCUGGGAAACUUCCAUAUGCUGUGGCUGCGGCCCUAAAAAGACCAAAAAAAAAAAGGAAGCAAGGCCAGAGUGGGGAACACCCCUUGUCCAAGGCCAUACAAGUGGUCCCACUGGGACCAGCUUCAGUGGCCUGACCUGCAGACAUGCGUCCUUUUCAUUAGACCACGGUGUGGGCCGCAGGGAGGACAGUAGGAGGUCAGGCCCAGAGGGUCUCUGGGCCAUCGUGCUCAGAGGGGAGGAUGGAUGGACCCGUGUCCUCUGGGCCACAUCCUUGAUCCUCUCUUUUUGCAGCUCAGAUCCACCAUGGCUGUGGCUGUGGCUGUGGCCAGCAUCUGCAGCUCCGAUUCAGCCCCAAGCUGGGAACCUCCAUAUGCCCUGGGUGCAGACUUAAAAAAAAAAAAAAAAUUUAAAAAUUUAAAAAAAUAAGAAGAAGAAAGAAAGGAAGGAAGGAAGAUGUAUUGACAACUUUGGGUUUUGGUUUUGGAGCCAUAACUGUCCCCAGAGAGUGGUUAUUGGCAUGUUAAAUGCACCAUUGGUGCCUUUUUCCUUUUUCUUUUUUUCCUCAAUUUAACAGCCUGAAUUGACCCUCACUGAGCACCUGCUACACACCCAGGAGUGAGCUCUGCCCCCUCCUAAAAAGGCGCUCCAGGUGGGUGGGUGUGGAAGGCAGCACAUACAAUACAAGGCACAUGCUGUGUGUUUUGUCUUUUUAUGAUGCUGGCGUGGCAGUGUGAUGGGCUGGCAGUUCCCUACCACAAAUGAGGAAGAAGUAAGGAAAGACGUACAGAAAGUUAUUUUGGAAGACCAGAGUUUAGGGGGAGUGAUCAGAAAAGAAAUGAACUUAUGACACAGAUGGCAGGAAAUCACGCCUGGGUAGAGGGGAAUGUGGGGCGGCAGAGGAGAGGGUGGAGCGUGCAUCCUAAGAUGCUGAAACUCGCUCUGGACUGAGUGAGAUGAGAUGCUCACACUGCUGGGAAUUGGAGCCUCAGGCAGAGCGUGUAUGGAGGCAGAGCUGGGAGGCAGAGGAAAUCUAGGCCACCCACACCCCCACCUGCCCUGACCUCUCACCUUAAAGCCUCAGGAAGGGAAAAUCAAUGGGCUCCCGAAGUGCAGGAGCCCAGGGUCCAGGGCUGGAAUCUGACCCAUGCAGAGUGUUUACUGAUCUGGAGACGGAUAGGUUCAAAUGAGCUCAUCUUUAUCUUGAGAGGAAAUUAGGGAGCCCAGACCCAGACAAAGCCGCCUUCUAUUCAACGAAAAUCUACCACGGCCACCGCAGCCACCUCCCACCCCACGACGCACACGACAGUCCAUAAAACAUCUACCUGGGUAACCUCUCUGGAGUUCGGUUCUGCAAGAUCAACAAACAGGGAAUGAUGAACUCACAGACAACCAAAAAAAGUUAUUCCAGAAUAUCUUACUUUUACCCCUCUUGCUGAUCUGUAUCCUCUUUUGGUCCCCGCAGUUUGCAAAUAUUGACUAAGUUCAAGGGCAGCGGUAGAAGAGCUAACUUCAGAGUUAGCAUGAGGUGAAAUACUUAAGAUGGUGCAAUCCUGUCCUAAUGAAGAGCAUAUCAGAUCCCAAGGUUGGUUAUGGGCAGUUCUUGUCCCCUGACCCAGUUGAUAUUUGUUUUAUCAAGUCAGGGACUAUUUUUGUCAUCAUUGUUAAUCUCCCCCUUGCCAGAUCUGUUUUGGCCGAGGGCAUGCACUUGAGGUAUGUUAAAAGAAUGGAGUGCAGUAUUGUGGGAAAGAAUUAUCACUAAUUCUGUCUGCCUACAGCUUCCUCAGCCCUGUUCGUCUGAUCUUAACACACCAAGCAAAACUGUAGACAGAAAGUUCUACAAGCCCAUGACCUGGUUCCAGCAAGUAGAUUUUGAAGCUGAAAGAGGAAGGUAGCAGCAUUCCCAUGAUGGCUUUAAGUCUUCAUUCUGUAGGAAACAUUUUUGACUUGCCCAUCAGGGGAGGGCUUGACAGAAUGUUUUGCCAAUAAAGAAACACCCUGCUGGAGUUCCCCGGUGGCGUGGAGGGUUAAGGAUAUGGCAUUGUCACUGUUGUGGCUCUGGUUGCUGCCAUGGCAAGGGUUCGAUCCCCGGCCCAGGGACUUCCUCAUGUCACAGGCAUGGCCAAAAAAAAAAAAAA
Molecule: long non-coding RNA, 3778 nt
Filed under: Sus scrofa (pig)
Lineage: Eukaryota; Metazoa; Chordata; Mammalia; Artiodactyla; Suidae
Description: lncRNA (ENSSSCG00015035966.1)
Source: RNAcentral